GACGAACGCUGGCGGCGUGCUUAACACAUGCAAGUCGAACGGAAAGGCCCUGCUUUUGUGGGGUGCUCGAGUGGCGAACGGGUGAGUAACACGUGAGUAACCUGCCCUUGACUUUGGGAUAACUUCAGGAAACUGGGGCUAAUACCGGAUAGGAGCUCCUGCUGCAUGGUGGGGGUUGGAAAGUUUCGGCGGUUGGGGAUGGACUCGCGGCUUAUCAGCUUGUUGGUGGGGUAGGGGCUUACCAAGGCUUUGACGGGUAGCCGGCCUGGGAGGGUGACCGGCGACAUUGGGACUGAGAUACGGCCCAGACUCCUACGGGAGGCAGCAGUGGGGAAUAUUGCACAAUGGGCGGAAGCCUGAUGCAGCAACGCCGCGUGCGGGAUGACGGCCUUCGGGUUGUAAACCGCUUUCGCCUGUGACGAAGCGUGAGUGACGGUAAUGGGUAAAGAAGCAACGGCUAACUACGUG
This 468-nucleotide ribosomal RNA is filed under the name uncultured bacterium. RNAcentral's name for it is "partial 16S ribosomal RNA". It matches the Rfam family "Bacterial small subunit ribosomal RNA", at positions 28 to 507 of the family's 1533-position model. The record is from RNAcentral.